Molecule: long non-coding RNA, 1666 nt
Organism: Lagopus muta (rock ptarmigan)
Lineage: Eukaryota; Metazoa; Chordata; Aves; Galliformes; Phasianidae
Exons: 5
Source: RefSeq, a predicted model, not a curated record
ACUGCAGAAACUUAAACUUUAGUAAAACAAGAUCUUUUAUGUUUUUAGGUAUGAGAAAUAUCAAGCUAUGGUUUAAAAAAAGAAAGCACUGAUUGAGAUCUAGCCAAGCUCUUUACUAGAUUUGAAGCUGAACUCUGGGACUGUAAUUCUCAGUAUCCUUUCAGAUGUGGCUAUUUCAGCUCCUAUGAAAAUGAUGCAUACUGUUCAGCAGAGCCCUUGAGUAUCAUUGGAGAGCACUCAGAGUAUAUGAAAAGACUCGAAGGACAACAUGGAGAAACACUGAAGGCAGUCAGAGUGAUACAUGUCAUUGUUACCUGCGCUACAGUACUCCAGAGGAUGCUCAGUUCAGCUUUCUUGUGGGUGAAGAUGUAAUUUCAUUUAUGCUGCAUAGCACUCAGUGGCAGUCUUGAAAAAAUUUGUAUCCAUCCUUUUCCAGAAAGCAGAAAGAAUACAAAAUGGUGUAUGAGACCAUUCUAUACAAACAAAAACUACUUGAACCAAUUGCUCUGAAGGCUUCUUUUGCACUGUACCUGUAUAUACUGAUCUGAAGUGGAGGAAGUGAAAACAGUUAAUUGAAGCACUUCAUUUUUCAGCUUUUAUGAACCUGCUCAGAUUACUUUCAGCAUCUGCUUCUUUUUCUUUCUUCCUUGGAAAGAUGUAUGGAUUCAUAGGAAUGGGAGUUUGUUUUUAAUGACAAAUAACUGAAUGCAAAGUAACUUUGUCACUUUAUAAUUUGGUUUGAACCUGUACUGGUUAAUAAAAAUUUAACUGUAUUAGGGGAUGUGUCUUUUCCAAAAGCAUCAACCACUGUAUUGAUCCCUUAAAAAGUGAACUUGAACUGCUAUAAUGGUCACUGCUUCUGCAUACAUUCAGCAGUGAAUGUACAUGCAGUGUGGGGAAGGAGAACAACUAUUCAUGUUUCAGAGAAGAAAAGGGAGUUCUGUCACUUAAAGAAAUAAAAAUGUGUAGAUUUUGAUUUGUUUAUUCCUUAACUUCUAAAAUGUGUUUUCUUUGACAUCUUUGGCGUGUCAUUGGUGGAAGUAAAAAAGCAGAUUAAGUAUACCUGAUUAGAAUGUUUAUCAUUGUGAAUGUAUAUUUGAGGAGAGAAUUUACAGUUCAGAUUGUAUCCUGAUGUCCUAGCAAUCUGAAAUGUAAUGUGAUGUACAAAUACAACUGCUUUACCUUUCUCUGUCACUGGAUUAAAAAAAAAAAAUAAAAAAAAAUCACCCAGACCACAAAACCUUACUGUAAAUGGAGAGACAAACCGGAAAAAUAUGUUAACGUCAUGAGGAAAAAAAAUUGUCAGUGCCUGGCCAAAUAAUUAAGAGCUAUAAAAAUUUCUUACAGUAAACUUUUAGUAAUCAGAUCUUUUCAGAUGAAAAUAAGUAUCAAUUUAGUGUUUUCUACUUUUAGAGUUGCAAGUAAUAGAAAAUCUAAUUGCAUGAAAGCUAUAAAAACUGUGAAAUCUUUACUUAGAACUUUAUAUUUGAAUAGAUUUGUUGUUACAAGGGUGUAAGGAGAGUAAAUAUCUGGAACCAACAUUGUUGGAAGUUUAGAGAAAUCUAUGAAAAAAUAGGUUACUUAGUUUGUAACUAUUUUGUUUUAACAUCUUUUUGUUUUAACAUCUUUUAGAGAGAAUGGACGUUUACUUUGGUGACAGUUAAUA